CGUAGGGUGCAAGCGUUGUCCGGAUUUAUUGGGUUUAAAGGGUGCGUAGGCGGCCCUGUAAGUCAGUGGUGAAAUACUCCAGCUUAACUGGAGGGGUGCCAUUGAUACUGCAGGGCUUGAGUUAAGUUGAAGUUGGCGGAAGUUGACGGUGUAGCGGUGAAAUGCUUAGAUAUCGUCAAGAACACCGAUAGUGAAGACAGCUAACUAAACUUUUACUGACGCUGAGGCACGAAAGUGUGGGGAUCAAACAGGAUUAGAUACCCUGGUAGUCCACACUGUAAACGUUGAUUACUCGCUGUGUGCGAUAUACAGUACGCGGCCAAGCGAAAGCGAUAAGUAAUCCACCUGGGGAGUACGCCGGCAACGGUG
RNAcentral lists this ribosomal RNA (369 nucleotides) under uncultured organism. RNAcentral's name for it is "bacterial SSU rRNA". It matches the Rfam family "Bacterial small subunit ribosomal RNA", at positions 526 to 896 of the family's 1533-position model. The record is from RNAcentral.